UCAAACGUCUGACAAACGUCAACCGUCUGGGCCGAUUUCCGUUCAAACGUCAAACGAAGCUUCGACCUGUUCUUUCUCUUCACCGGCAAGCUUUGCCCGCUCUAGACGCCGCAUUUGUCGUUUUCGCUCCUAAUUUCUGUUCAAAAUGGUCACCCUCAAGGGACGCAGGAUUGCCAGGAAAAUGUGUGUCCACGCUCGAUGUGGUGAGCAAAGCCAUCCUGCAUUCGGGAUUCGUUGAGAUCGAUUUAAGAAGCACGUGCAUCUGAACCGUGCAACCGCAUGUUCUACCUCUCACGUAUGUGGACUCUGGUCCCGGAAUGGACGCCCACCGGAAAGCUGCACACCAAGAUGGUCCAAUUUGAUUACCUCAAGCUGUUCGGUUCCGGUAUGCUGCCGCCCAAGUCACACAUCCAUCAUUCGGAUUGGACACAGAGAUGAUGGAUGAUGAACCCCUCUGCCAAAUUGUCCCAAAAUUUGGUCGCCAAGCUUCGCGAGUAGCAAGUGGCUAACGGAGCGUUCCAGCAGCAGAAGAAGCCUGGAAGCCGGAAAUGGCAGACCAAGUGUGCUCCGGAGGUUCCUGUAUCUUCAGAAUGGCCUCCUCCACCAUUGUAUUCGGAGAGGCCUAAUUUUGUCGUCGAUGAAACCAUGCUACGUAAUAGUACAUUGAAAUACAACAUUUAAAUCGCCAACAAA
Molecule: long non-coding RNA, 693 nt
Organism: Anopheles stephensi (Asian malaria mosquito)
Lineage: Eukaryota; Metazoa; Arthropoda; Insecta; Diptera; Culicidae
Exons: 3
Source: RefSeq, a predicted model, not a curated record